GGUUAAGCGACUAAGCGUACACGGUGGAUGCCCUGGCAGUCAGAGGCGAUGAAGGACGUGCUAAUCUGCGAUAAGCGUCGGUAAGGUGAUAUGAACCGUUAUAACCGGCGAUUUCCGAAUGGGGAAACCCAGUGUGAUUCGUCACACUAUCAUUAACUGAAUCCAUAGGUUAAUGAGGCGAACCGGGGGAACUGAAACAUCUAAGUACCCCGAGGAAAAGAAAUCAACCGAGAUUCCCCCAGUAGCGGCGAGCGAACGGGGAGCAGCCCAGAGCCUGAAUCAGUGUGUGUGUUAGUGGAAGCGUCUGGAAAGGCGCGCGAUACAGGGUGACAGCCCCGUACACAAAAAUGCACAUAUUGUGAGCUCGAUGAGUAGGGCGGGACACGUGGUAUCCUGUCUGAAUAUGGGGGGACCAUCCUCCAAGGCUAAAUACUCCUGACUGACCGAUAGUGAACCAGUACCGUGAGGGAAAGGCGAAAAGAACCCCGGCGAGGGGAGUGAAAAAGAACCUGAAACCGUGUACGUACAAGCAGUGGGAGCACGCUUAGGCGUGUGACUGCGUACCUUUUGUAUAAUGGGUCAGCGACUUAUAUUCUGUAGCAAGGUUAACCGAAUAGGGGAGCCGAAGGGAAACCGAGUCUUAACUGGGCGUUAAGUUGCAGGGUAUAGACCCGAAACCCGGUGAUCUAGCCAUGGGCAGGUUGAAGGUUGGGUAACACUAACUGGAGGACCGAACCGACUAAUGUUGAAAAAUUAGCGGAUGACUUGUGGCUGGGGGUGAAAGGCCAAUCAAACCGGGAGAUAGCUGGUUCUCCCCGAAAGCUAUUUAGGUAGCGCCUCGUGAAUUCAUCUCCGGGGGUAGAGCACUGUUUCGGCAAGGGGGUCAUCCCGACUUACCAACCCGAUGCAAACUGCGAAUACCGGAGAAUGUUAUCACGGGAGACACACGGCGGGUGCUAACGUCCGUCGUGAAGAGGGAAACAACCCAGACCGCCAGCUAAGGUCCCAAAGUCAUGGUUAAGUGGGAAACGAUGUGGGAAGGCCCAGACAGCCAGGAUGUUGGCUUAGAAGCAGCCAUCAUUUAAAGAAAGCGUAAUAGCUCACUGGUCGAGUCGGCCUGCGCGGAAGAUGUAACGGGGCUAAACCAUGCACCGAAGCUGCGGCAGCGACGCUGAUGCGUUGUUGGGUAGGGGAGCGUUCUGUAAGCCUGUGAAGGUGUGCUGUGAGGCAUGCUGGAGGUAUCAGAAGUGCGAAUGCUGACAUAAGUAACGAUAAAGCGGGUGAAAAGCCCGCUCGCCGGAAGACCAAGGGUUCCUGUCCAACGUUAAUCGGGGCAGGGUGAGUCGACCCCUAAGGCGAGGCCGAAAGGCGUAGUCGAUGGGAAACAGGUUAAUAUUCCUGUACUUGGUGUUACUGCGAAGGGGGGACGGAGAAGGCUAUGUUGGCCGGGCGACGGUUGUCCCGGUUUAAGCGUGUAGGCUGGUUUUCCAGGCAAAUCCGGAAAAUCAAGGCUGAGGCGUGAUGACGAGGCACUACGGUGCUGAAGCAACAAAUGCCCUGCUUCCAGGAAAAGCCUCUAAGCAUCAGGUAACAUCAAAUCGUACCCCAAACCGACACAGGUGGUCAGGUAGAGAAUACCAAGGCGCUUGAGAGAACUCGGGUGAAGGAACUAGGCAAAAUGGUGCCGUAACUUCGGGAGAAGGCACGCUGAUAUGUAGGUGAAGUCCCUCGCGGAUGGAGCUGAAAUCAGUCGAAGAUACCAGCUGGCUGCAACUGUUUAUUAAAAACACAGCACUGUGCAAACACGAAAGUGGACGUAUACGGUGUGACGCCUGCCCGGUGCCGGAAGGUUAAUUGAUGGGGUCAGCGCAAGCGAAGCUCUUGAUCGAAGCCCCGGUAAACGGCGGCCGUAACUAUAACGGUCCUAAGGUAGCGAAAUUCCUUGUCGGGUAAGUUCCGACCUGCACGAAUGGCGUAAUGAUGGCCAGGCUGUCUCCACCCGAGACUCAGUGAAAUUGAACUCGCUGUGAAGAUGCAGUGUACCCGCGGCAAGACGGAAAGACCCCGUGAACCUUUACUAUAGCUUGACACUGAACAUUGAGCCUUGAUGUGUAGGAUAGGUGGGAGGCUUAGAAGUGUGGACGCCAGUCUGCAUGGAGCCGACCUUGAAAUACCACCCUUUAAUGUUUGAUGUUCUAACGUUGACCCGUAAUCCGGGUUGCGGACAGUGUCUGGUGGGUAGUUUGACUGGGGCGGUCUCCUCCUAAAGAGUAACGGAGGAGCACGAAGGUUGGCUAAUCCUGGUCGGACAUCAGGAGGUUAGUGCAAUGGCAUAAGCCAGCUUGACUGCGAGCGUGACGGCGCGAGCAGGUGCGAAAGCAGGUCAUAGUGAUCCGGUGGUUCUGAAUGGAAGGGCCAUCGCUCAACGGAUAAAAGGUACUCCGGGGAUAACAGGCUGAUACCGCCCAAGAGUUCAUAUCGACGGCGGUGUUUGGCACCUCGAUGUCGGCUCAUCACAUCCUGGGGCUGAAGUAGGUCCCAAGGGUAUGGCUGUUCGCCAUUUAAAGUGGUACGCGAGCUGGGUUUAGAACGUCGUGAGACAGUUCGGUCCCUAUCUGCCGUGGGCGCUGGAGAACUGAGGGGGGCUGCUCCUAGUACGAGAGGACCGGAGUGGACGCAUCACUGGUGUUCGGGUUGUCAUGCCAAUGGCAUUGCCCGGUAGCUAAAUGCGGAAGAGAUAAGUGCUGAAAGCAUCUAAGCACGAAACUUGCCCCGAGAUGAGUUCUCCCUGACUCCUUGAGAGUCCUGAAGGAACGUUGAAGACGACGACGUUGAUAGGCCGGGUGUGUAAGCGCAGCGAUGCGUUGAGCUAACCGGUACUAAUGAACCGUGAGGCUUAACCUU
RNAcentral lists this ribosomal RNA (2904 nucleotides) under Escherichia coli. Its description in RNAcentral is "23S ribosomal RNA". It matches the Rfam family "Bacterial large subunit ribosomal RNA". Lineage: Bacteria; Pseudomonadati; Pseudomonadota; Gammaproteobacteria; Enterobacterales; Enterobacteriaceae. The record is from RNAcentral.